UACGUAGGAGACAAACGUUAUCCGGAGUUACUGGGCGUAAAGGGCGUGUAGGCGGUCUCGUAAGUCUGGCGUGAAAUUUUUCGGCUUAACCGGGAAAGGUCGUCGGAUACUGCGGAGCUAGAGGACGGUAGAGGCGUGUGGAAUUCCGGGUGUAGUGGUGAAAUGCGUAGAGAUCCGGAGGAACACCAGUGGCGAAGGCGACACGCUGGGCCGUACCUGACACUGAUGCGCGACAGCAUGGGGAGCAAACAGG
This 253-nucleotide ribosomal RNA is filed under the name uncultured bacterium. RNAcentral's name for it is "partial 16S ribosomal RNA". It matches the Rfam family "Bacterial small subunit ribosomal RNA", at positions 524 to 776 of the family's 1533-position model. The record is from RNAcentral.